RNAcentral lists this ribosomal RNA (301 nucleotides) under uncultured bacterium. RNAcentral's name for it is "partial 16S ribosomal RNA". It matches the Rfam family "Bacterial small subunit ribosomal RNA", at positions 509 to 807 of the family's 1533-position model. The record is from RNAcentral.
CAGCAGCCACGGUAAUCCGGAGGGGGCUAGCGUUGUUCGGAAUUACUGGGCGUAAAGCGCGCGUAGGCGGCUUGGUAAGUUAGAGGUGAAAGCCUGGAGCUCAACUCCAGAGUUGCCUUUAAGACUGCCGAGCUAGCAGGUGAGAGAGGUAAGUGGAAUUCCGAGUGUAGAGGUGAAAUUCGUAGAUAUUCGGAAGAACACCAGUGGCGAAGGCGGCUUACUGGCUCAUACUGGACGCUGAGGUGCGAAAGCGUGGGGAGCAAACAGGAUUAGAUACCCCUGUAGUCCCUGUCUCUUAUAC